GACGAACGCUGGCGGCGUGCUUAACACAUGCAAGUCGAACGGAAAGGCCCUGCUUUUGUGGGGUGCUCGAGUGGCGAACGGGUGAGUAACACGUGAGUAACCUGCCCUUGACUUUGGGAUAACUUCAGGAAACUGGGGCUAAUACCGGAUAGGAGCUCCUGCUGCAUGGUGGGGGUUGGAAAGUUUCGGCGGUUGGGGAUGGACUCGCGGCUUAUCAGCUUGUUGGUGGGGUAGUGGCUUACCAAGGCUUUGACGGGUAGCCGGCCUGAGAGGGUGACCGGCCACAUUGGGACUGAGAUACGGCCCAGACUCCUACGGGAGGCAGCAGUGGGGAAUAUUGCACAAUGGGAGGAAGCCUGAUGCAGCAACGCCGCGUGCGGGAUGACGGCCUUCGGGUUGUAAACCGCUUUCGCCUGUGGCGAAGCGUGAGUGACGGUAAUGGGUAAAGAAGCACCGGCUAACUACGUG
RNAcentral lists this ribosomal RNA (468 nucleotides) under uncultured bacterium. RNAcentral describes it as "partial 16S ribosomal RNA". It matches the Rfam family "Bacterial small subunit ribosomal RNA", at positions 28 to 507 of the family's 1533-position model. The record is from RNAcentral.